RNAcentral lists this ribosomal RNA (464 nucleotides) under uncultured bacterium. RNAcentral describes it as "partial 16S ribosomal RNA". It matches the Rfam family "Bacterial small subunit ribosomal RNA", at positions 339 to 795 of the family's 1533-position model. The record is from RNAcentral.
CUACGGGGGGCUCCAGUGAGGAAUUUUGCGCAAUGGGGGAAACCCUGACGCAGCAACGCCGCGUGAGUGAAGAAGGCUUUCGGGUCGUAAAGCUCUGUCAAGUGGGAAAAAGGCUUCAAGGUGAAUAGCUUUGAAGAUUGAUGGUACCACUGGAGGAAGCACAGGCUAACUCCGUGCCAGCAGCCGCGGUAAUACGGAGGGUGCAAGCGUUGAUCGGAAUUAUUGGGCGUAAAGAGCGUGUAGGCGGAAUGAUUAGUCAGAUGUGAAAGCCCUGGGCUUAACUCAGGAAGUGCAUUUGAUACUGUCAUACUUGAGUAUGGGAGAGGAGAGUGGAAUUCCCAGUGUAGAGGUGAAAUUCGUAGAUAUUGGGAGGAACAUCCGUGGCGAAGGCGACUCUCUGGACCAAUACUGACGCUGAGACGCGAAAGCGUGGGGAGCAAACAGGAUUAGAUACCCUAGUAGUC